UACGCAGGGGGCUAGCGUUGUCCGGAAUCAUUGGGCGUAAAGCGCGUGUAGGCGGUUCGGUAAGUCCGCUGUGAAAGUCGGGGGCUCAACCCUCGAAUGCCGGUGGAUACUGUCGGACUAGAGUACGUAAGAGGCGAGUGGAAUUCCUGGUGUAGCGGUGAAAUGCGCAGAUAUCAGGAGGAACACCAAUUGCGAAGGCAGCUCGCUGGGACGUUACUGACGCUGAGACGCGAAAGCGUGGGGAGCAAACAGG
RNAcentral lists this ribosomal RNA (253 nucleotides) under uncultured bacterium. Its description in RNAcentral is "partial 16S ribosomal RNA". It matches the Rfam family "Bacterial small subunit ribosomal RNA", at positions 524 to 776 of the family's 1533-position model. The record is from RNAcentral.